UGCUUUACACAUGCAAGUCGAACGGAUCAAGAAGCUUGCUUCUUGGUUAGUGGCGAACGGGUGAGUAAUAUAUCGGAACGUGCCCAGUCGUGGGGGAUAACGUAGUGAAAAUUACGCUAAUACCGCAUACGAUCUACGGAUGAAAGCGGGGGAUCGCAAGACCUCGCGCGAUUGGAGCGGCCGAUACCGGAUUAGCUGGUUGGUGAGGUAAAGGCUCACCAAGGCGACGAUCCGUAGCUGGUCUGAGAGGACGACCAGCCACACUGGAACUGAGACACGGUCCAGACUCCUACGGGAGGCAGCAGUGGGGAAUUUUGGACAAUGGGCGAAAGCCUGAUCCAGCCAUACCGCGUGAGUGAAGAAGGCCUUCGGGUUGUAAAGCUC
This 384-nucleotide ribosomal RNA is filed under the name uncultured organism. RNAcentral's name for it is "bacterial SSU rRNA". It matches the Rfam family "Bacterial small subunit ribosomal RNA", at positions 45 to 433 of the family's 1533-position model. The record is from RNAcentral.